Molecule: long non-coding RNA, 914 nt
Filed under: Prunus persica (peach)
Lineage: Eukaryota; Viridiplantae; Streptophyta; Magnoliopsida; Rosales; Rosaceae
Description: long non-coding RNA (PPER_LNC004436)
Source: RNAcentral
UGACACUACCUAGUCAAAUUUCGAGUGCUUUCAUUGAAGUGAACAUCGUUGGUGAGAAUUGAAGUUAAAGCUUGUUCUUACUUGCUUAUUUAACUUUUGUGAAGCAUAAGUCGUGGUUAUAUUAAUGUUGGCUAUUUCACACACGACACUCCAAGUUGUUCAAUUAAAGUUUGGUUAACCCUUUGAUAAUGUCUUGAGUUAACGUUGCUUAUUUCUUGGAAGUUAGUUAACCGUUGGUGAUUAUCUCUGAGAUCAAUAUUGGGAAUUUAGUUGUGUGUUUGUUUUGAGUCUUUGUUCUUUUGUUUUCAUUUUUCGUUUUGUUUUGCUCGAGGACUAGCAAAAUCUAAGUUUGGGGGUAUUUGAUAAGCCAUUUAUAUAUCACAUAAAUUUAUUCUUUUCAUUUAGAUGUUGUAUGCAAAAAUUGAUUGUUCUAUAGAGAUCUUCACAUAUUCCAGCUUUUGUGUUUUCAGGAACUCUAAAAUGCCAAAAAUGGAGAAAUUACUUUUUACUAGGAGAUUUUGGUUGAAACCACUUGGAGAUGAAAGCUAAGAGGUCAAGAGACGUUAUAUCAAAAUUUGAGAGCUAUUGGACCCGCCAACUGUUCAGAAUGAAUUAUUAAAGUCAGGGCAUGUGCCACACGGACAGAUUGGAGCUGUUGGGUUGAGGACGAUUUGAGUUUAUGGGAUUUGUCUUGGAAACUAUUUGACAUAAAAAUUGUAGCUGAAGUCAAUCCUUUCCAAUGAGAUCUUACACAUUCGAUUUGGUGAAGAUUAAGCUCACCAAAAGCCCAGAAUCGGAAUAGCUGCUGUAAGCUGCAAAGAAUUAGGAAAGCUGACUUGUACUUUUUAAAAUUUUUUUUUUUUCUAUUGGUUACAAUUUGUUUGGCUGUUCUUGCCUUGGAAGUUAAGUUAUUU